RNAcentral lists this ribosomal RNA (506 nucleotides) under uncultured bacterium. RNAcentral describes it as "partial 16S ribosomal RNA". It matches the Rfam family "Bacterial small subunit ribosomal RNA", at positions 29 to 523 of the family's 1533-position model. The record is from RNAcentral.
AGUGAACGCUGGCGGUAGGCCUAACACAUGCAAGUCGAACGGCAGCACAGGAGAGCUUGCUCUCUGGGUGGCGAGUGGCGGGCGGGUGAGGAAUACAUCGGAAUCUACUUUUUCGUGGGGGCUAACGUAGGGAAACUUACGCUAAUACCGCAUACGACCUACGGGGCAAAGCAGGGGAUCUUCGGACCUUGCGCGAUUGAAUGAGCCGAUGUCGGAUUAGCUAGUUGGCAGGGUAAAGGCCCACCAAGGCGACGAUCCGUAGCUGGUCUGAGAGGAUGAUCAGCCACACUGGAACUGAGACACGGUCCAGACUCCUACGGGAGGCAGCAGUGGGAAAUAUUGGACAAUGGGCGCAAGCCUGAUCCAGCCAUACCGCGUGGGUGAAGAAGGCCUUCGGGUUGUAAAGCCCUUUUGUUGGGAAAGAAAUCCAGCUGGUUAAUACCCGGUUGGGAUGACGGUACCCAAAGAAUAAGCACCGGCUAACUUCGUGCCAGCCGCCGCAGUAA